This 409-nucleotide ribosomal RNA is filed under the name uncultured bacterium. RNAcentral describes it as "bacterial SSU rRNA". It matches the Rfam family "Bacterial small subunit ribosomal RNA", at positions 350 to 751 of the family's 1533-position model. The record is from RNAcentral.
AGCAGUGGGGAAUUUUGGACAAUGGGCGCAAGCCUGAUCCAGCAAUGCCGCGUGAGUGAAGAAGGCCUUCGGGUUGUAAAGCUCUUUUGUCAGGGAAGAAACGGUGAGGGCUAAUAUCUCUUGCUAAUGACGGUACCUGAAGAAUAAGCACCGGCUAACUACGUGCCAGCAGCCGCGGUAAUACGUAGGGUGCAAGCGUUAAUCGGAAUUACUGGGCGUAAAGCGUGCGCAGGCGGUUUUGUAAGUUUGUCGUGAAAGCCCCGGGCUCAACCUGGGAAUUGCGAUGAGGACUGCAAGGCUUGAAUCUGGCAGAGGGGGGUAGAAUUCCACGUGUAGCAGUGAAAUGCGUAGAGAUGUGGAGGAACACCGAUGGCGAAGGCAGCCCCCUGGGUCAAGAUUGACGCUCAUG